CCUACGGGGCGCAGCAGUGAGGAAUAUUGGUCAAUGGACGGAAAUCUGAACCAGCCAUGCCGCGUGCAGGAAGACGGCUCUAUGAGUUGUAAACUGCUUUUGUACAAGGGUAAACCUGAAUACGUGUAUUCAGCUGAAUGUACUGUACGAAUAAGGAUCGGCUAACUCCGUGCCAGCAGCCGCGGUAAUGCGGAGGAUCCAAGCGUUAUCCGGAUUUAUUGGGUUUAAAGGGUGCGUAGGCGGAUUGAUAAGUCAGAGGUGAAAUGGCCGAGCUUAACUCGGGAACUGCCUCUAAUACUGUUGAUCUAGAGAGUAGAUGCGGGAGGCGGAAUGUAAGGUGUAGCGGUGAAAUGCUUAGAGAUCAGACAGAACACCAGUGGCGAAGGCAGCUUACCAAUCUAUAUCUGACGUUGAGGCACGAAAGCGUGGGGAGCAAACAGGAUUAGAUACCCUUGUAGUC
Molecule: ribosomal RNA, 460 nt
Filed under: uncultured bacterium
Lineage: Bacteria
Description: partial 16S ribosomal RNA
Rfam family: Bacterial small subunit ribosomal RNA
Source: RNAcentral